RNAcentral lists this long non-coding RNA (298 nucleotides) under Homo sapiens (human). Its description in RNAcentral is "HSALNT0179549". The record is from RNAcentral. Lineage: Eukaryota; Metazoa; Chordata; Mammalia; Primates; Hominidae.
GUUCAGCCCCUUUCCUUUCUCUCUCGCACACAUAUUUGCUCGCCUUUUUGUCUGCCAACAUGGGAUAAAGCAGCAAGAAAGUGCUUGCCAGAUAUGGGUCCUUGAACCUUGGACUGCCCAGCCUCCAGAACUCAUCCCUUACGCCAUACUUUGGUAAAUACUGUUCAUGGUCUUAGAAAUGCCAAGCAAGCAGACAGCAGGAAACUAGUGAUCUAGAAUCAGCAAGAAACCUCUAAGGUAAGGGUGGGAUUGGUCAUAGACCCUCUUUUUCCCUAUUUUUCUCUCACUACUGCAUUUU